UGGCCCAUUCGAUCGUCCCCUUGGACGUUCCAGUGCCGGCCAGCAGCAGAUCCUGCGUCCCAAGCUUACGUGAGAAAGAACGAAGAACGUAAGUCUUCUUUUGCUUACCUGGAGCAGUGCGAUGAUCUGGUCGUUGCUCAGCUUGUUUUCUCCUCCCAGAGUCAGCAUCACGUCGACGAAGUCCCGGGGAUUUUCUGGAUCGAAGUCUUUCGCGUGCUCCUCGAUGACUGCUUCCAGAAAGCGAGAUCUUGCUGGUAAGGCUUCAUUCUUGAGACGGUUUUGCGUCCCUCUGAGCGUGUCCAGCCAUCGUAUCGCAGGGAUGUAAUCACCGGCAAACAGCCUCCUGGAUUCUUUCGCUUGGAUCGCCCACGACGCCUUGUAGGCUUCGGCCUCGGGAGUGAGCGGCGUGUCGGUGCCGUAGAACUUCCUCCCGAACAACACGCACGUCAUGAGGUUGGUGAAGUACUCGUGCAGCAUGGAGCUGAGAUCAAACUCGUGCCCGUCUUUUGCAGACGCCUCGACGAUCUCUCCAAACGCUCCCAGCUCCCUCUUGCGAGUGCCGGCAAAGUGGCUCACCUUGGAGGCCGUGAAGAGCUCUGUG
This 601-nucleotide long non-coding RNA is filed under the name Selaginella moellendorffii. Its description in RNAcentral is "long non-coding RNA (SMOE_LNC001725)". The record is from RNAcentral. Lineage: Eukaryota; Viridiplantae; Streptophyta; Lycopodiopsida; Selaginellales; Selaginellaceae.